UCUCCGUUGGUGAACCAGCGGAGGGAUCAUUACCGAAGUUACCUUCAAAACCCACUGUGAACAUUACCUCUUGCCGCGUUGUCUCGGCGGGAGGCGGUGUGCGUCGCGCGCCCUAGCGGGCCGCGCCGCUCCCGUCCCCGCCGGCAGCGCCAAACUCUAAAUGCACAGCGGACUGUACGUUCUGAUUUACAAAAAAAACAAGUUAAAACUUUCAACAACGGAUCUCCUGGUUCUG
This 235-nucleotide unclassified non-coding RNA is filed under the name plant metagenome. Its description in RNAcentral is "partial contains small subunit ribosomal RNA, internal transcribed spacer 1, and 5.8S ribosomal RNA". The record is from RNAcentral.